Molecule: unclassified non-coding RNA, 337 nt
Filed under: soil metagenome
Description: partial contains 5.8S ribosomal RNA, internal transcribed spacer 2, and large subunit ribosomal RNA
Rfam family: 5.8S ribosomal RNA (bases 1-120)
Source: RNAcentral
GAUGAAGAACGCAGCGAAAUGCGAUAAGUAGUGUGAAUUGCAGAAUUCAGUGAAUCAUCGAAUCUUUGAACGCACAUUGCGCCCCUUGGUAUUCCAUGGGGCAUGCCUGUUCGAGCGUCAUUUGUACCUUCAAGCUCUGCUUGGUGUUGGGUGUUUGUCUCGCCUCUGCGUGUAGACUCGCCUCAAAACAAUUGGCAGCCGGCGUAUUGAUUUCGGAGCGCAGUACAUCUCGCGCUUUGCACUCAUAACGACGACAUCCAAAAGUACAUUUUUACACUCUUGACCUCGGAUCAGGUAGGGAUACCCGCUGAACUUAAGCAUAUCAAUAAGCGGAGGA